CUCGGCCUCGCCGAGCUCCCCCAGCCCGGACGCAGCGGCCCCGCCCGCUCCCCGCUGGGCAGCCCCGGGGGCCUCCGGCCGCCCCGCAGCCCGCCCGCUGGCCCCUCAGACGCCGGCUUCCGCACCUAACUUCCCUGGAACCGGGCGCGGGGUCCGGCAGAAAUCGCCCCCCGAGGAGGAAGCCCCUCUGUUCCCAAGCUUUCUCGACUUCCAGCAGAGACUUGUCCGCUGGUUCCUCGGCAAGCCACGGCGGCUCAGCCCCACGCGGAAGGGCGGCUGGAAAGGCGGGCCGAGCGAACACCCGACAGUAGUUUCCUUCACGUGGCGAACACCCACGGCCACGGCCGUCACCCCAUGCCCGGGCCUUGCCGCCCCACUGAAAGCAGAGUGAGUCAUUUCAUCCUUAAGACGCUCCGAACCCGGCCAAAAUGAUUGCUCUCAUUCUUGACGGACCGCGGUCUUGGGCACUCCUGGGUGAGCAGACUGAGAAAUACCCACGAGGACUGCGAGGUCCUGGCCCACCCACGUGAGGCCUCGAGACACAGCCAAAGUCUCUCCCACCCCAGUAGGCAGGGAUCUCCGAAGUCUUUUUCGGCAACCAGGAUGCCUAGAUUCGCAGAGGGGAGCAAAGGGCUCAGGUUGCCCUGGACCUCUAAGGGCAGUUCUCCAGCUCUCCUCUGAGCAGACAAGGUUAAAGACCUGCAACCCACGGUCCGGCGUUAAUCAGCCUCCGCAUACCCUUCCCACAAGGCUGAUCACCUUGCUAAACACCAGAGUACGUAAGAAACUAUUGCCGGCCUCAUUAUUCUACACUUGGUAAAACAGAAAGCUCUUCACAAAUGUCAGAAAUUCUAAGUAACAAUAAAUAACAUUCACUUUUGUGUUAAACUUA
Long non-coding RNA from Canis lupus familiaris (dog), 892 nucleotides. RefSeq lists it as uncharacterized. The transcript is spliced from 2 exons. The record is from RefSeq and is a predicted model, not a curated record. NCBI's taxonomy places the organism in Eukaryota, Metazoa, Chordata, Mammalia, Carnivora, Canidae.